CGACAAAGCUACGCAGAUCAGAGACAGAGGCAUCCUGAGAAAGAGAGAGAGACUGUGGGAGAGAGAGAUCGAGAGGGAGGAGAUUGAGAAUCGACAGAUCUGAAAGGGAUGACUAAGGAGAGGAGAGUCUUCGAAAAGGUGUGAGAAAAUAGGAAAGGAAUGGGAAAAUGUUACAAACAGGUCGGUCCGGGUACCCCUUUUUCUAUACUUCUGGACUCAGCCCAUCCCGCACCAUUUCUCUUUUUAAAAAUUAGGAACCGGCCUGUACCCACCGCAACCCGCUAUUCCUAUACCCGUUUGCCCACCCCUACAUAUAGUUCAAAUUAUGCUUUAUAAGAUGUUUUUGGCAUUGAGUGGCAGUAUUUUUUUUUUUUUUCUUUCUUGGUAGGACAUGAUUGUUGAGUAGCAAUGUAGUGCAGUGCAUUUAAAUUUUCAAAAUAAUGGAGAGGAGCAAACAGUUGAAAGAAAGUAGAGACUAAAAGUAGGUGAUGGUAAUGAGUUGUACUGCCUAAUCAUAUGCCGGGUAAUUGCAGGUACCUAUAAUUAAUCAUAACUUUCACUUCUGUUUAUAUAUAUUUUUGGCUUAUUAGUGGAAAUGUCUCUUGAAACUGCUAUUGAAUCUCAGUUAUCUCCUAAAAUUGGUUUUGUCUCACUUUGCCCUUAGAAACUAACAUUUUCAACUUUUUAUCUCACUUUACCCACUUCUGUUAAUGAACUGUUAAAUGUAAGGGUAUUUUAGACAUUUCAAUUUUUACAUAUUUAUUUACCUCUAUCCUACACAUUAAACAAGUCUCAAUUAUUUUUGAUAACUCUAAUUCAAACGCAUAAAUUUUGGGCAUUUUUACAAAUAAAUUAUUCAAUCAAUAGAAAAUUUCCAAGCAACAAAAUCAUUGUAUCAACCAAAAUAAGGGUUACAUUUGUUCAUAGAGCAUCACUUGCAAGACAUCCAUGUAUUUGAUCGAAACUUAGCAAUUGAAAAAUAUUCAUUACAACAAAAUCAUUAUACCAUUAAGCUAUCCUAUCCAAAAUACUUCCCAAACCAAAAAAAUUAUUUAAAGAAAAUGUGCACCGUUUGAAACAAAAAAAUUCACAUUGUUGAGCAUUGAUUCCACUAGACAUGAGCUUGUUCAGGAGCAAAGUGAGACAAAAACUGAGACUCAAUGGCAGUUUUAGGGGGCAUUUCGACUAAUAAGCCUAAUUUUUAAAACAAACGAUGGUAUCUUCAAAUUCGCCUUUGUCGAGAAUCGAACCUAAGACCUCUUACUUACAAGUGAAAAAAAAUACUAUUAGACCGCAAUACUAAGUGACCAUAUCUGUUUAUAUAUUUAAGAUUGUAAUUUGCAUAAUCCUUUAGAAAGAACACAUAUCAUGAUUAGAAUAGAACUGUUUUGAAUGAUUUUGUUGACCUCACAUGUUUCGUCCUUUUUAUAUUAAUUUAUUUAAUUUAAUUGAUGUGGGAUGUUUUGGCCUCACUUUCGGACCUGGAUCAUUUCCAAGGCAAACCCUCGAGAUGCUGCUGAGCGAUAAACAUGGGCCGUUGGAUUUCGAUCCA
Molecule: long non-coding RNA, 1552 nt
Filed under: Malus domestica (apple)
Lineage: Eukaryota; Viridiplantae; Streptophyta; Magnoliopsida; Rosales; Rosaceae
Description: long non-coding RNA (MDOM_LNC005727)
Source: RNAcentral